AAUAUAUUUAUAUAUUUAUAAAUAAAUUAAUUACAAAUACGAGAGAGAAUCAAAAAGUAAAGGCAACUUACCCUUAUAACGGGUUAACAACAGAUAACAGUUAUAUCACUGCUCCAAUUACUCUCCCUGCUGGUUGGUGAACUUCUUGUUUCGCUCCACUAACUUUUUUAUUCUGCUCCUGAAUCCAGGUGUCUAUCACUUCCUUAACUUCAUCAUCAGAGAUGAACCUGCGACCGGAUAGAGCUUCUUUAACUGGACCGAAGAUGUAAUAGUUGCAUUGUGCUAGAUCAGGCUUGUAAGUGGGAUAUGGAAGAUGUUAAAAUAACAGCUGUUUAAGUGCCUCCAUAGUUGAGGCUGCUGCUUGAGUAAGUGUGUUGUCAUGCAACAGCAAGACUGUUUUUGACAGCCUUCCAGUUUCAGUUUCUUUCUAAGCACAGUACAUUACACUGGUCACUGAUUUUGUAUGUUCUUGAAAAUACAUAGGAAUAGAACCAUUGAUGUCCCAAAAGAAGAUUUUCUUGUUGGUGGACUGUCAAUUGAUUUUUUUCUUUACUGGAGAAGACAGGUACUACCAAUGCAUUCUUUUGUCACGUGCUUUCCAGAUCACAGUGAUGGACCUGUGUGUCAUCUCCUGUGACAAUCUGCUCCAAAACUCUUGGAUGUUCUUCGUAACAUUUCAGGAAUUAGGUUGCAACCACCACGCAAUGUUGCUUGUAAGCCAUUUGAUUACCCAUCUUGUUCAAACUUUACAGUACCCCAAGUCAUUGUGCACUGUGGCUUGUACAGAUCCAUAACUGGUAAUCCAAAUGUGCAGCAACAGAGGGCAACAUAAUUCAUCAGUCCUCUCUGAUGCAGACAUUCAUCAUGUUAAUGUGGUCUUGUUGGUGCAAAGUUUAUGGUUGACCAGAUUGAGCUUUGCUGGUUUCUCUUGUUCUUCCCACUUCAAACCAUUGUAUCCAUUCAUAAACAUUUUUAGCAAAAAAUGGGGUCAAAAAUUAAAACUGGCAAAAGAGAGCUUAGCAAGUUACUCAGAUGUUUAAGAUCAAUCACCUGAAAGUGUCUUAAAGGCCAGCGAUGUUUGGCCCAAUAUUGUCAGCGUGUGAAGGAACGAGUGCCAAUCAAAACAGAGUUUGUAUAAAGCAGGAUAAAACAUUUGUGUUAUUAAUUUCAGGUGGGGAGACAGUGUAUGUAUGAAUCUAAUAGACCUCGCUUUUUAAUAGUGUCCUGUCCUAGUCUUUGCCCCUGAGAUGGCGUGCUGUUUCCUAAUAGCAUAGCUGUGUUAUGGUUUGUGCUUUCUGAAUUAAAUCAUGGUUUUAAAGCUCACUAUUUGAUGGAGUGUAUUUGUAUAUGUUUAUGUACAAUGAUUCUACUUUUAAUUGAUUUGAUUCACCAGUGCAUAAUAAAGGGAAAGACAAAAUAAAGUAUAAAUCACACCUUCAAAUUAUAAGCCCAUUGAGGAAUGAGAGGAAUAAGAGUAUCAUUGAUAAUUAAAAUACUGCCCUUUUAAAAAGUUGCGCAACAGUUGCUUCUUAGACAUGGAAACACUUAUUUCUCAAAUAAAUAAACAUUUGUAAUUAUGCUCUUUUUUCCUUUUUCAAUAGGCAGUACCAACUUUAUUUCACAGAUACUGUAUAUUGAACUUAUUGGUAUAUUGAACUCCUAUUCCAUUCGUAAACAAAUCCGGUAAACAUUCUUGAACAGGCCACUGUAGUAUUAUUUAAAAACAAAUCAUGUGAUAUAGUAGACUGUGAAUUAUUUUAUAACUAUCAUCACCAGAAACUGCUAACUGGAAAAACCAGUAACUUACGGAAACUGAAUUUAAAACUGUUAUUUAGAUGAGAGGCAUGAACAUUUAAAAAUUACAAAAUUCUCCACUGGCUUCUGUGCUUGGACUACUCCUUUUAAUUUAUUUGAAUAAAAAUGUAAUGCUUUAAAAUCGAUGAAUGUCAUACAAUUGCAAAGACAGCAAUCACUGAACAGUGAUCAAAAACAAUUUUAAGGGUACAGACUACAUUUAAAACUGGGAUGUGUGCAGACUACUAGGAUAUGGAACUUUAGUUGUAAAUCCAAAAUAAAACAUGCCUGCCUGGAGAAAACAAAAUCUGAAAAUUGUUGAGCCUUACAUUAGUGCAACCUUCCCAACAUAUAGGAACUGUGCAUAAUCAUCCAAAUAAAAAUAUAUGGUUAUAUUGUAGAAUAUUGUCCAUUGAACCAUUUUUUAGCACACAUACUGUUUAGGGUUGCUGGGAGCCUUUGUACCUUAAACACAUUACACUUCCUUUGUGUGCCGCUGGAGCACAGGCAAGUAACUUACUCAGGUUUGUACAGUGAUUUGAGGGUUGGAAUUGAACCAACAGCCUUACUGUUUAAAGUCAAACACUUUAGCCACCAAUCUGUUAGUCAACACCUUUUUCUCAGAAUAUAUAAUGUACUUCGAGUAUUUAUGCAGUUUCCAUCAGAAAUACAAAACAUGCAUUAGCUUGAGUAUUUAUACAGGGAAUGAGGCCAAGAGCAAUGCAUAGUUAAAGGGCACGUCCAAGCUAAUUUAACGACACUCAUUUUUAGACUGAGGUGGGCUCGAUUUACUGAUUUUCUUUAGGUAACCCACUUUGUAAAUUUUACAGGAUUGGUGUUUUCAAAACACUGACAAUGGAGUGUUCGGCAAACUAACACAGCUUCACUCACACUUGCACUGCCUCCUGGGUUUGGUCAUACAGUUUCGUAUAGUUAACUCACACUGUGUGGUUUUUUUCUUCCUGACUGCAUAUGUAUAUUUUUUAUUGUAUUAUAUGGUAUAAAUUCCCUUGUAUACAACUUUCUAAGAGUUCUUACUAUACAAUAAAGUGAGUGAUUUACUGUAAAAUAA
Long non-coding RNA from Erpetoichthys calabaricus (reedfish), 2866 nucleotides. RefSeq lists it as uncharacterized. NCBI's taxonomy places the organism in Eukaryota, Metazoa, Chordata, Cladistia, Polypteriformes, Polypteridae. The transcript is spliced from 2 exons. The record is from RefSeq and is a predicted model, not a curated record.